Molecule: ribosomal RNA, 301 nt
Filed under: uncultured bacterium
Lineage: Bacteria
Description: partial 16S ribosomal RNA
Rfam family: Bacterial small subunit ribosomal RNA
Source: RNAcentral
CAGCAGCCGCGGUAAUACGGAGGGUGCAAGCGUUAAUCGGAAUUACUGGGCGUAAAGCGUGCGUAGGCGGUUCGUUAAGUCUGUUGUGAAAGCCCCGGGCUCAACCUGGGAAUGGCAAUGGAUACUGGCGAGCUAGAGUGUGUCAGAGGAUGGUGGAAUUCCCGGUGUAGCGGUGAAAUGCGUAGAGAUCGGGAGGAACAUCAGUGGCGAAGGCGGCCAUCUGGGACAACACUGACGCUGAGGCACGAAAGCGUGGGGAGCAAACAGGAUUAGAUACCCCCGUAGUCCCUGUCUCUUAUAC